This 460-nucleotide ribosomal RNA is filed under the name uncultured bacterium. RNAcentral's name for it is "partial 16S ribosomal RNA". It matches the Rfam family "Bacterial small subunit ribosomal RNA", at positions 338 to 795 of the family's 1533-position model. The record is from RNAcentral.
CCUACGGGAGGCAGCAGUGAGGAAUAUUGGUCAAUGGACGAGAGUCUGAACCAGCCAAGUAGCGUGAAGGAUGACUGCCCUAUGGGUUGUAAACUUCUUUUAUAUGGGAAUAAAAUGUUCCACGUGUGGGAUUUUGUAUGUACCUUAUGAAUAAGGAUCGGCUAACUCCGUGCCAGCAGCCGCGGUAAUACGGAGGAUCCGAGCGUUAUCCGGAUUUAUUGGGUUUAAAGGGAGCGUAGGUGGAUUGUUAAGUCAGUUGUGAAAGUUUGCGGCUCAACCGUAAAAUUGCAGUUGAAACUGGCAGUCGUGAGUACACUAGAGGUAUGCGGAAUGCGUGGUGUAGCGGUGAAAUGCUUAGAUAUCACGAAGAACUCCGAUUGCGAAGGCAGCAUACUGGACUGCAACUGACACUGAUGCUCGAAAGCGUGGGUAUCAAACAGGAUUAGAUACCCGAGUAGUC